GUGUUCAAGGCUGAGCUGUUUGGUCAGAUGAAGGAGACCACCAAGAGACGGGUCAAGAUCAAUGACAUGGAGCCAGCCAUCUUCGAGGCACUUCUUCCCUUCAUAUACACAGAUUCAUGGCCUAGUAACUGUGAUCUGGAUCAGAAUGCGGAAUUGCAGCACUUGUUGGUUGCCGCAGAUCGGUAUGGACUAGAGAGGCUAAAGAUCAUUUGUGAAGGGAAGCUAUGCCAGAAAAUCGAUGUGCAAACAGUUGCAACCACCCUUGCUUUAGCGGAGCAGCACGACGCCACGCAACUCAAGAAUGCUUGUCUCAGGUACCUUUCUUCACAGGAGGUGCUUCGAGCUGUCAAGGAGACUGAUGGAUUCAAGCAUCUCACAGCAAGCUGCCCAUGGAUUAUGAUGGACAUUUUAGAGAGGGUCGCGCCACCGUCAGGAGUAUGA
Molecule: ribosomal RNA, 441 nt
Filed under: Triticum aestivum (bread wheat)
Lineage: Eukaryota; Viridiplantae; Streptophyta; Magnoliopsida; Poales; Poaceae
Description: partial small subunit ribosomal RNA
Source: RNAcentral